GUUCUGUGAAAUGGAGAUAAAAAUAUCUUACAAGGUUCUUGUGAGGGUUGGAUGGGCUAGAGAUGCGCCUGCCAGGGGUUAGGAGUUCAAUUUUCUUUUUUUAAAUAUGUUAAUUCCUUUCUUUCCCAGAGAGCUCGCAUUCCUGCUGGGAAGGUAAACUCACUCACAUGAAUUGACUUGCGGUGAACUCCACUCCAAAGGCUUUGCUCUUUGUGAAACUGCAAAAGAGCCACACUCUGGAGAACUGGAGAUUUAUAUUUCAGUGAUGUUAAGGGGAGGAUGGCCAUAAAAGUUCAGACCACACAAGUACUCUCUAUUCAAAAAGUCUUUGAGCUCCUAUGGUAUGCCAGCUAGAUGCAAGGAUAAAAAAAACCAGGUGAGAGAAGAAAGACCUGGAGCGCCAAGCUAAAUCAAGCUAAGCUAUGAUCCAGCUAGAAAUUGGUAAGGCAGGACCUGACCCCACCUUCUGCAUUCAAAGUCCACAUUCCUUUUUUCUUUUAAUCCACAUUCUUCGCUUAUAUCACCCUGUGUCU
Non-coding RNA from Odocoileus virginianus texanus, 533 nucleotides. NCBI's taxonomy places the organism in Eukaryota, Metazoa, Chordata, Mammalia, Artiodactyla, Cervidae. The record is from RefSeq and is a predicted model, not a curated record.